AAGAGCACCCAUAAUCAUGAAAUUCUUCAAAGAGUAGCAAAGCAUAUUACAACCCAUCUUAACACGCAAUUUCUUAUUUUGCACCUCCCCCGUCAUUUUUUAAGAUGUGGGAAACAGGCAUACAAAUCAGACUUAGGGUGUUUAGCUUCAGCAUGCUCUCGACACUUCACCUCAGUCGUGGUACACAUGAAAGUCUGCAUGCAAACCUUGCA
This 212-nucleotide unclassified non-coding RNA is filed under the name Hevea brasiliensis (rubber tree). Lineage: Eukaryota; Viridiplantae; Streptophyta; Magnoliopsida; Malpighiales; Euphorbiaceae. The record is from RNAcentral.